GCAUACCUCGCCUGUGCUCGGAUUUUGCGGACAAUCCAUUAACAUCUGAGCUCUGCGUCUACCAUCGUUACAGCAAACUAACUGUAGCCUUUUUCUCUUUUCCCAUAGAAACCUCCGCGCCAUGAGAGCAAAGUGGAGGAAGAAGCGAAUGCGCAGGCUGAAGCGCAAAAGGAGAAAGAUGAGGCAGAGGUCCAAAUAAACCGGCUGGCUGUGCACUCGUGAAGGCCACAAGAGAAGGAACAUGGGAUGCCAGAGGCUAAGGAGGCUAGUACAAGCUGCUGGACUGCAUGCUACUGUCUGGAAUUUGCUCUCAGUGGAUAUAAGACCUCAUCGCCAUCCGAUCACCAAGACCACCCCUGAGAGACCCACCUUGCUCACACCAAAACAGUCCCUUGCCCUGGACCUGACAUCCUGGACUCGUUCUGUUUAUCACUUGUGGCUGAGUGUAACCAGUAUACAAUAAAUCAUACCUUCUGCUGUUUCGGCUGAUGAAGCAAA
Otolemur garnettii (small-eared galago) is the source of this 498-nucleotide long non-coding RNA. RefSeq lists it as uncharacterized. The record is from RefSeq and is a predicted model, not a curated record. The transcript is spliced from 3 exons. Lineage: Eukaryota; Metazoa; Chordata; Mammalia; Primates; Galagidae.